This 911-nucleotide ribosomal RNA is filed under the name Malbranchea gypsea. Its description in RNAcentral is "LSU rRNA". It matches the Rfam family "Eukaryotic large subunit ribosomal RNA", at positions 36 to 964 of the family's 3401-position model. Lineage: Eukaryota; Fungi; Ascomycota; Eurotiomycetes; Onygenales; Malbrancheaceae. The record is from RNAcentral.
UAGCAUAUCAAUAAGCGGAGGAAAAGAAACCAACAGGGAUUGCCUCAGUAACGGCGAGUGAAGCGGCAAAAGCUCAAAUUUGAAAUCUGGCCCCGUCAGGGGUCCGAGUUGUAAUUUGGAGAGGAUACUUCGGGUGUGGCCGUGGCUUAAGUCCCUUGGAACAGGGCGUCAUGGAGGGUGAGAAUCCCGUCUUGAGUCACCGGUCCACGCCCAUGCGAAGUUCCUUCGACGAGUCGAGUUGUUUGGGAAUGCAGCUCUAAGUGGGUGGUAAAUUUCAUCUAAAGCUAAAUAUUGGCUGGAGACCGAUAGCGCACAAGUAGAGUGAUCGAAAGGUUAAAAGCACCUUGAAAAGGGAGUUAAAUAGCACGUGAAAUUGUUGAAAGGGAAGCGCUUGCAACCAGACUCGAGCGCAGGGUUCAGCGGGCAUGCGUGCCCGUGUACUCCCUGUGCUCGGGCCAGCAUCAGUUUCGGCGGUUGGUUAAAGGCCUCUGGAAUGUAUCGUCCUCCGGGACGUCUUAUAGCCAGAGGCGCAAUGCGGCCAGCCGGGACUGAGGAACGCGCUUCGGCACGGAUGCUGGCAUAAUGGUUGUAAGCGGCCCGUCUUGAAACACGGACCAAGGAGUCUAACAUCCACGCGAGUGUUCGGGUGUCAAACCCGUGCGCGCAGUGAAAGCGAACGGAGGUGGGAGCCCAUCAGGGUGCACCAUCGACCGAUCCUGAAGUCUUCGGAUGGAUUUGAGUAAGAGCGUGGCUGUUGGGACCCGAAAGAUGGUGAACUAUGCCUGAAUAGGGUGAAGCCAGAGGAAAACUCUGGUGGAGGCUCGCAGCGGUUCUGACGUGCAAAUCGAUCGUCAAAUUUGGGUAUAGGGGCGAAAGACUAAUCGAACCAUCUGGUAGCUGGUUCCUGCCGA